RNAcentral lists this ribosomal RNA (406 nucleotides) under uncultured bacterium. RNAcentral describes it as "bacterial SSU rRNA". It matches the Rfam family "Bacterial small subunit ribosomal RNA", at positions 355 to 775 of the family's 1533-position model. The record is from RNAcentral.
UGGGGAAUAUUGGGCAAUGGGCGCAGGCCUGACCCAGCAACGCCGCGUGAGGGAAGAAGGCCUUCGGGUUGUAAACCUCUGUCCUUGGUGACGAAACAAAUGACGGUAGCCAAGGAGGAAGCCCCGGCUAACUACGUGCCAGCAGCCGCGGUAAUACGUAGGGGGCGAGCGUUGUCCGGAAUUACUGGGCGUAAAGGGUGCGUAGGUGGCCUUUUAAGUUGGAUGUGAAAUACCCGGGCUUAACUUGGGGGGUGCAUCUAAUACUGGGAGGCUAGAGUGCAGGAGAGGGAAGCGGAAUUCCUAGUGUAGCGGUGAAAUGCGUAGAUAUUAGGAGGAACACCAGUGGCGAAGGCGGCUUUCUGGACUGUAACUGACACUGAGGCACGAAAGCGUGGGGAGCAAACAG